RNAcentral lists this ribosomal RNA (676 nucleotides) under uncultured bacterium. RNAcentral's name for it is "bacterial SSU rRNA". It matches the Rfam family "Bacterial small subunit ribosomal RNA", at positions 62 to 783 of the family's 1533-position model. The record is from RNAcentral.
UCGAACGAAGUAGCAAUACUUAGUGGCAGACGGGUGAGUAACAUGUGGGUAUCUGCCCUUUGGCCUGGAAUAACACGAGGAAACUUGUGCUAAUACCGGAUAAGUCUUUACGGAGAAAGCUUUAUGCACCAUUGGAUGAGCCUGCACUUGAUUAGUUUGUUGGUGGGGUAAUGGCCUACCAAGACUGUGAUCAAUAGCUGAUUUGAGAGGAUGAUCAGCCACAUUGGGACUGAGACACGGCCCAAACUCCUACGGGAGGCAGCAGUGGGGAAUCUUGCACAAUGGAGGAAACUCUGAUGCAGCGAUGCCGCGUGAGUGAAGAAGGCCCUUGGGUUGUAAAGCUCUUUCGUCGGGGAAGAAAAUGACUGUACCCGAAUAAGAAGGUCCGGCUAACUUCGUGCCAGCAGCCGCGGUAAUACGAAGGGACCUAGCGUAGUUCGGAAUUACUGGGCUUAAAGAGUUCGUAGGUGGUUGAAAAAGUUAGUGGUGAAAUCCCAGAGCUUAACUCUGGAACUGCCAUUAAAACUUUUCAGCUAGAGUAUGAUAGAGGAAAGCAGAAUUUCUAGUGUAGAGGUGAAAUUCGUAGAUAUUAGAAAGAAUACCAAUUGCGAAGGCAGCUUUCUGGAUCAUUACUGACACUGAGGAACGAAAGCAUGGGUAGCGAAGAGGAUUAGAU